Cercophora newfieldiana is the source of this 114-nucleotide non-coding RNA. The record is from the annotation of a GenBank genome assembly. Lineage: Eukaryota; Fungi; Ascomycota; Sordariomycetes; Sordariales; Lasiosphaeriaceae.
GGCGAGAUGGCCGAGCGGUCUAAGGCGCUACGUUAAGGAUUUUCCUUAAUACCAUCAUGGUUCUUCAUGAUUCCGUAGUCCGAAAGGGCGUGGGUUCGAAUCCCACUCUCGUCA